Salvelinus sp. IW2-2015 is the source of this 339-nucleotide long non-coding RNA. RefSeq lists it as uncharacterized. NCBI's taxonomy places the organism in Eukaryota, Metazoa, Chordata, Actinopteri, Salmoniformes, Salmonidae. The record is from RefSeq and is a predicted model, not a curated record.
AGUUUUAUUCUGCCGUUCUUGUGAAUCUCUCUCUCCCUACAGCAGGUUUUUGUGCAGUGCUCUCUGCUGGUUCUGGUCCUGGGUGUGUUACAGCAACAUCUACUGUUACAGGAUGGAGAGAGAGAGAAGUUACUGUCCUCCAUGUUGUUCUACUCCGGUCUCUCCACUCUGAUACAGAGCUGUCUGGGGACAUGCCUCCCUCUGGUCCAGGCUCCGUCUCUGGAAAUCCUUAUCCCUGCUGUAGUCCUCACUGCCCAGAUUGUUACUGAACCGGCCUGCAGAGGGCACUGUGAGGAGAGUGAGGGGGACAUCCUACCCAGAGCCAACCCAGUCAGAGAG